AGUGAACGCUGGCGGUAGGCCUAACACAUGCCAGUCGAACGGCAGCACAGUAAGAGCUUGCUCUUACGGGUGGCGAGUGGCGGACGGGUGAGGAAUACAUCGGAAUCUACUUUUUCGUGGGGGAUAACGUAGGGAAACUUACGCUAAUACCGCAUACGACCUACGGGUGAAAGCAGGGGAUCUUCGGACCUUGCGCGAUUGAAUGAGCCGAUGUCGGAUUAGCUAGUUGGCGGGGUAAAGGCCCACCAAGGCGACGAUCCGUAGCUGGUCUGAGAGGAUGAUCAGCCACACUGGAACUGAGACACGGUCCAGACUCCUACGGGAGGCAGCAGUGGGGAAUAUUGGACAAUGGGCGCAAGCCUGAUCCAGCCAUACCGCGUGGGUGAAGAAGGCCUUCGGGUUGUAAAGCCCUUUUGUUGGGAAAGAAAAGCAGCAGGUUAAUACCCCGCUAUUCUGACGGUACCCAAAGAAUAAGCACCGGCUAACUUCGUG
This 492-nucleotide ribosomal RNA is filed under the name uncultured bacterium. RNAcentral describes it as "partial 16S ribosomal RNA". It matches the Rfam family "Bacterial small subunit ribosomal RNA", at positions 29 to 507 of the family's 1533-position model. The record is from RNAcentral.